UACGAAGGGGGCGAGCGUUGUCCGGAUUUAUUGGGCGUAAAGAGCUCGUAGGCGGCUUGUCGCGUCGACUGUGAAAACCCGAGGCUCAACUUCGGGCUUGCAGUCGAUACGGGCAGGCUAGAGUUCGGUAGGGGAGACUGGAAUUCCUGGUGUAGCGGUGAAAUGCGCAGAUAUCAGGAGGAACACCGAUGGCGAAGGCAGGUCUCUGGGCCGAUACUGACGCUGAGGAGCGAAAGCGUGGGGAGCGAACAGG
Molecule: ribosomal RNA, 253 nt
Filed under: uncultured bacterium
Lineage: Bacteria
Description: partial 16S ribosomal RNA
Rfam family: Bacterial small subunit ribosomal RNA
Source: RNAcentral